RNAcentral lists this long non-coding RNA (7437 nucleotides) under Zostera marina. Its description in RNAcentral is "long non-coding RNA (ZMAR_LNC004876)". Lineage: Eukaryota; Viridiplantae; Streptophyta; Magnoliopsida; Alismatales; Zosteraceae. The record is from RNAcentral.
GAACAGCGGAAAGCCCAGAUCAUUCCAAGGACGUUAAACUGUUUGAAUGGUCCGGACGGCUCCAUAAGCCCUACGAACAUUUGGCCGACCGGCUUAAAAGACCCAUUGAUUCGAGCAGUUGACACCCCAAAGAAUGCGUCCCAAGUAUAUCGGAUCCAUCAGGUCGAUUCGUGUUAGGAAGUUGUAUAAAUACCCCUAGGGGUGAAGUGUAAAAGGGGGGGAUUACUUGUAAUACAGUGAUUAUACUUGUGAUACAUUGUGAUUAUACUUGUGGAAUACUUGGAAUUAUACUAUAGUAGAUAAGAUCGACCUUCUUCCUAGAGGGUCACGAUCAGUGGUGAACCUGACGUGAACCGAACACGAACACGAGAAGAUGGAUGCAGAGCAACCGGAACGGGAAAUUCAAGUAGAGGGAAGUCUGGAAAACGGGGCGGUAGAAACAUAUGGGAAUCGACUGUCAACAGUUACUCGUGAAAGCCAAGGAGUGGGUGAACAGGUGCGUUUAGAAGAAAAUAUCGAAGAAGCACCUUAUCACCCCCAGCAGCGUACGCGCGAAAAUUCCCGAUUCUUUGAAGAGGCAAUACCGGAAGAUGGGAUGGAUGCAAGUUGGUCGGAGCAAAGCCGAUCAAGAUCACCAGAACAUAGAAAUGACCAAGGAUAUGGGAGAGCGUUUCCCAUAUUGCGGGAACCAAGAGAGAGUCAACUAAUGUCAAUUAUCGCGGAUUUGCAAAACAAUCAAAGGCAACUUCAGGAACAAAUCGUGUCAAUGGCAAAUAGAAGCAUACAUGAGAACGUUCCUAUACAACCAUCAAUUGGUUAUCUGGACCAAUUAACACCAGCGGACAACGAAGAAGCUUUAGCGCGACAUCUUUUAGUGGAAGGUUAUCCGACAGGGUGGAGAGCCCCAAAAAUGACAUCAUAUGAUGGUACAACGGAUCCUGAAGAUCAUGUUCACUCGUUCACCACUGAUCAAAUGUAAAUAAAGUUUGCCCUAAAGAUUCAUACCCACUCCCAUCAGUAGACCAUUUGGUCGACCAAGCUUCAGGAUGCAAAUUACUGAGUUUCAUGGAUGCACAUUCUGGUUAUAAUCAGAUACCCAUGGCUAGGGAAGAUGAAGAAAAGACAUCUUUUAUAUCAGAAACAGGUACCUUCUGUUUCAGGGUAAUGCCUUUCGGGUUACGUAAUGCAGGAGCAACGUUUCAGAGGGCCAUGGAUCAAAUAUUUAAAGAUCAGAUCGGGAGGAAUCUCGAAGUAUACGUAGAUGAUAUCCUAGUUUGUUCUAAAACAGUGGCAGAGCAUUUACCAGACCUGAGGGAGACUUUUGAUAACAUCAGAAGAGCAGGUCUAAGAUUGAAGGCAAAAAAAUGUUCUUUUGGGGUUACGGAAGGACAUUUUUUGGGCUUCAAAAUAACUCCCCACGGGAUAAAAGCCCGUACGGAAAAAAUAGAGGCGAUAAUGGCAAUGACACCACCAAAGACAAUAAAAGAAGUGCAGAAACUCAACGGAAAGGUAAAUGCAUUAAGCAGGUUCUUAGCAAGGGGGGCAGACACAUUACAACCUCUUUUCAAGUUAAUAAAAUCGGCUAGCCCGAAAAUAACAUGGACAGAAGAAUGCGAGGAAGCGUUUCAAAAACUUAAGGAGCAGUUAAAGAAUUUACCAACCUUACAGCCACCGUUCCCGGGGGAACCAUUAAAAUUAUACAUAGCCGCAUCCGACAAUGCCACUAGCACGGUACUAAUGACUGAAAGGGAUGGUACGCAACGGCCAAUUUAUUAUUACUCGCGCACAUUACAAGGAGCAGAGAAGAAGUAUCCACAAAUUGAGAAACUGGGGUUAGCAAUAGUAACAACGGCAAGGAGGUUAAAACCUUAUUUCCAAGCACACCCAAUAACCAUCCCAACAGAAUUUCCAUUGUUACAGUUGUUGCAUAAGCCAGAUGUAUCGGGCAGAUUGACAAAGUGGGCUGUGGAAUUAAGCGAAUUUUAUAUAAGUAUAGUACCAGCAAAAGCAAUCAAAGGACAAGCAGUCGCUGAUUUCUUGGCAGAAUUUACACCAAGUAGGGAGGAAGUUGAGAGUUGGUGGAUUAUUCAUGUUGAUGGAUCGGCAGGUAAUUCUGGAUGCGGAGCAGGAAUAAUAAUCCAGACACCUACGAAAGAAAAGAUAGAACACGCAAUUAACUUUAACUUCAAAACAACAAACAACGAAGCAGAGUAUGAAGCACUAAUAGCAGGAGCACAACUAGGAAAAGCGUUAGGAGCCAGAAGGGCAAAAUUUCAUACGGAUUCACGGUUAGUAGCAAAUCAAGUCAAUGGGGAAUUCAUGUCAAAUGAAGAAGGGAUGUGUCGAUACACAGAAGCAGCAUGUGACACAUUGCAACAUUUCGCAGAAUGGGAACUACAUCACAUAAGCCGCACGGAAAAUAAAGAGGCGGAUAUUUUAGCAAGAUUGGGCGCGUCCCCAGGUGUGCCAAAAGGGCGAUGGGUUCGAGUGGAACAGCAGGAAGUGCCAUCAAUAGCAAAAAGUGAAAGAAACAAAAUCCUGACAUUAGCAGUAAAGGAGGAUUGGAGAGUACCAAUAAAAAAUUACAUUACAAAAGGAAUAGUCCCGACGGACGCGAUGGAGGAGAGAAAGUUGAGAAAUAAAGCGGCCUGAUUUACAACAGUAGGAAACGAUCUUUUUCGUAGGGCAGUGGAGGACAGUAUUCCCCUACGGAUUUGUGUUACACAUGAAGAAGGAAAAGAAAUAUUAACAAGCGCACAUAAAGGAGCGUGCGGGCCACAUCAGGGGGCAAAAAUGUUGGAAAAACAGGUGGUGAGACAGGGCUACUAUUGGCCACAGAUAAGAAAAGAUGCUGAAGAACUAGUAAGAAGUUGCAACGAAUGCCAAAGGCAUGCAAACAUCCAGAGGAGGCCGUCCAGUAUAAUGAAUCCUGUGGUUACACCAGUACCAUUUGCUCGAUGGGGUUUAGACAUAGUCGGCCCAUUUCCGGUAGCAUCAAGAGGUCGGAAAUUCUUAUUCGUGGCGGUUGACUACUUCACUAAAUGGGCUGAGGCUGAACCAACAAGCGCAAUAUCGGAACAAAACGUCAUCCAGUUCAUUUUUAGAAACAUAAUCUGCAGGUUCGGGGUUCCAUUACAAAUAAUAACAGACAAUGGAACACAAUUUACUGGGAAAAAAGUAAAGAAAUUUUGUGAGGAUAGUGGUAUAAAGAUGAGCUUCGCCCCAGUAUAUCAUCCACAAGCUAACGGACAAGUCNNNNNNNNNNNNNNNNNNNNNNNNNNNNNNNNNNNNNNNNNNNNNNNNNNNNNNNNNNNNNNNNNNNNNNNNNNNNNNNNNNNNNNNNNNNNNNNNNNNNNNNNNNNNNNNNNNNNNNNNNNNNNNNNNNNNNNNNNNNNNNNNNNNNNNNNAUUGGACGCAGUGGCCCCGGCGGAAGUGGUGUGGCCAACAGCAAGGGUAACGAAUUUUAACCCAGAAGAUAACAACCUGGCCAUCUUACUAGCCAGAGAAAAGUGUGAAGAAUUAAGAGAAAUGGCAGCAAUAAGGGAUUUGACCUAUAAAAGGAAGGCGGCAAGAUACCAUAACCAAAGAGUGAAUGAGAAGAAGAUAAAUUCAGGAGACUUGGUAUUAAGAAACGGAAGAAUCACCGGACUGGACCAAACUAAAGGGAAGUUAUCUCCAAAAUGGGAGGGACCAUAUGUAGUCGUGGAGGAAGUCCGUCCGGGAAUAUACAGAUUAGCAUUUGAGGACGGUCAGAAAAUAGAGAGAACAUGGCACUCUGACAAUCUAUCUAAGUAUUUCCAGUAGAAGUGAUUGUAUGUAAGAACAAAAAAAAAAAAGAGUAACAAAUUAUUGUACAAAAAAACCACAACAAAGCCUUAGGGCAAUAAAAUCGUAAGGAAUAUUAAUUAAAAGAAGCAUCUUGGAACAAUUAUAAAUGUUUGCAGGGAAACAAAGACAGGAGAAUGAUAAGCAAAAGCACGGGAUAAAAAUUCAAGUUACAAAAAGGUACGUUUUAAUUGUUCUUUUCUCAAAAAUAAAAAACUUAAACUAUUGGUUCUCAUGACCCGACAACUCGGAGAGAGUCUUGGGCCAGGGCGGAUGCUCCGCAGGGAUCCCGGUCACUUGCCAUUGUUCCCACAUGGGUGGGUUAAUAGGAACGACGGUCGAUUCAUAUUCAGGACUACGGAGGUUCACCAUAUCCCGCCCGUGAACCAUGCCUUCAACAAAAUUCUUGAAACAAGCACGCUUAUUCCGCUCGGUCAAAUUCUUGACUUGUUCAGUAAAUUUCACCUUGGCUCGUUCAAUGUUUGCUUCCAUAGACGCAACCUGGGCGGCCUUCUCGUCCCUUUCAAUCUGAAGGAAUGUGGCUUGGGCGGCCUUCUCGUCCCUCUCAGUCCGAAGGAAUUGCUUUGCCGGUCUCACCUAAAAAUUCUUUACCAAUACCUUUGGUGGCUUGUUCACCAGCUUCGCUAGCAACAUCAGUCCCAAUCCCUACAAAUGGGUUGAAUAGCUUUCUCGUUUGCUCUUUGUUAUAAAUCUUUUUUCCGAGAUUAGGAGAUAGAACACUAGUGAAUAAAAUUGCCAAAGCGAAAAGAAUUACAUGAACUCGACUACCCAUUUUUAUAUAUUUGUGGUUUAAUUCUUAAACCUUCAAAGAUAGAUCUAUAUAUAGAUAGAGGAAAAAUAACAUUGUGGAAUGCAUUUAUGCAUUUUGAAGAAUUUUAAAUUCGAAACUUUUUUAUCGUUAAAUCUGACUUUUUUUUUUGAAAGCGAAAUCUGACUUAUCUCUUUGCUGGUUUAUAACAUCAUUAAUUAUCUCUUAUCUAGAUUUUGUUUAAUUAAUUUGAAAAAUGACAUUGUGGGAUGCAUAUAUGCAUUUUGAAGAAUUUUAAAUUUGAAACUUCUUGACCUUUAAAUCUAACUUAUCUCUUUGCUGGUAGAUUCUCUUGUCAUUUCAGUACUGUAAAUUAAUUUAAAACACACUUGAUUGUUGAUCAAAACUCGAUAGCGGAUUUUUAUGAUAUCAUUUUUUCAAAUCUUUUACUUUUCAUGAUGUUAGAUAGUGAUGGUAGUUCUAACUUUAGCUAUGAUUGUCGGAGAAAUAAAANNNNNNNNNNNNNNNNNNNNNNNNNNNNNNNNNNNNNNNNNNNNNNNNNNNNNNNNNNNNNNNNNNNNNNNNNNNNNNNNNNNNNNNNNNNNNNNNNNNNAAUGGGAUCCGAACGGACAGAUAGUAGGCGGGAAUACACAUAGUGCUCUUCCGGAGAAAGUUCCCUUACGGAAAGAUUCCCAGCUUCGAAGGAAGAGGUGUCUACCCACUUGGAAGGAACCUCAGACAACCCCACGGAAUGGCUUUUUACAAAAAAAUAGCGGCUCUUCCACCGAUGUGAGCGGUCAGGAUAAGAAACAAGAAGUUUAUGCCUUAUCUUAGAAGAAACUAAAAGCCGUGCGGAAUUGGGACGUGAGAUUGAAAAAAACAGACGGAAAACACGCUCGAAGGGCUUCAGAUCUAGUUCGUGACACAAAUGUUCGAACGAAAGGACGCGGUCUAAACUAGAAGGAGAAAGUUGGGAAAUAGCAACACCAGUAUACGAAAGAAAAGAUAAGAGAAAAGGGGAAGCAGGAAGCCGAAGCCCUAGAUCCUCAAAACCCGAAUAGAGGGCAGUAUAGCCAUCAGGAGGUGAAGAGGCAGAGGCAUCGUUUGGCACUUCCAGAUGAGCUAUCGCCACAGAAGGAGCGAUCACCUGGAAAUGACGACGAGCUUGCCGCCUACUAAGUAUGGAGGGAGGAUCCUCAGAGGAGUUUAGAAAGUUACCGUGGAAACCAGGGAUACCGUCUAGGAAUUGAUCGAGAUCGGCCAUGGGAGAGGCUGCGGCGACUAACGGAGGACAAACCCUACUGAAAAAGGAGAGAAGUGAGGAAGAAUGGAGAAAGAGACUAUAUAUAGAAGCUUUUUUGGCGGGAAAUUAAAUUUUUUCAUACCCGAAGGACGGAUAAACCGUACGGAAAGAUAGGCACAUUUUCUUAGAAACAUAAGCUCGGACAUCAAAAGGAGGGUCGAAGUUGCCGUACGGAGGAUACUUGGAAAGAAACGGAACUGGAUCGACCGAGUAGUAUAGAAGGCGAGAUCGGUUGUUUAAGGAGAGGGCAGAAGGACCGUAGGGAGGAUGCCUGAAGAAAGGUAACCACAACGAAAAAGAAGGGAAUUUCACCAGGAUAGCAACAUGACCUUAAAGAAAAAGCAAGAAUACCUGCCCGUGGGGAAAACAGUUGUAGAAAACGUGGUAAUCAAAGUGCCGAGGGAAGUUAAGAUCGUGGUAGAAAGUUGGAAGUUGCCAAAUGCCUAAUCAACAAGUAGUUACAUUCAAUAAGCACGAACAAAGAAGCCAUUCAUACGAAGAGAAAAUUUGCUAAAAAAGAAAAAUUACAUCAGUACGUAAGAGAGGCACAAAUGAGUUUGUAGAAGUCACAAGAACUGCAGGGAACAAAAGAAACAUUCAAAACAGCACAAAACACAAAUGAAAGAAACCCAUCAAGGUGGGCCUCGUGAUAAAAAGUAACGGAGAUCGCCUGGAGGAGGCCCUGAACGACCGGCACGUGGUCCACGUCCCCGACGACGGCGAGGAGCAGGGGCAAUGGAGCGUUCAGUCAACAAAUGCUCAGUAGACGCAGGCACAGGAGCCCCAGGGGAGGGGGGAGGAGCAGAGGCAACGCAAAAGACAGUAGCAGGGAUAGCAGGACCGAACGGAGUAGCAGACCGACGGUUGCGGGAAACAGUUGCCGCAGUUGGAACAACAACACCGGUACCAUUGCUGACUUGCUGAAGAGCGCGAACGCGAUGCGAGACUUCUGAGACCAGUUGGGACAAACGAGAAUUACUCACAGCAAAAUCUUCAAUAUCACAGAGGUGUUGAAGAAGAUCAUCUGGCCAAAUACCUUGCUGACGUGCCAACUCGUAGCCCAGCUCCUGCAACAAAUCAUCAAGAGAAGACAUGAUAAAAGGAGGAGAAAAUGAACCAAAUAAAGAAAAGUAGCCUAUUUAUAGGAAGAGGGGGGGAGUACUGAUGGUACCCCCAAGUUACCAGCCCAGGCCCACGAAGAAGCCCCGGUCCAGUAAGACGAACAGCGGAAAGCCCAGAUCAUUCCAAGGACGUUAAACUGUUUGAAUGGUCCGGACGGCUCCAUAAGCCCUACGAACAUUUGGCCGACCGGCUUAAAAGACCCAUUGAUUCGAGCAGUUGACACCCCAAAGAAGGCGUCCCAAGUAUAUCGGAUCCAUCAGGUCGAUUCGUGUUAGGAAGUUGUAUAAAUACCCCUAGGGGUGAAGUGUAAAAGGGGGGGGAUUACUUGUAAUACAGUGAUUAUACUUGUGAUACAUUGUGAUUAUACUUGUGGAAUACUUGGAAUUAUACUAUAGUAGAUAAGAUCGACCUUCUUCCU